CGCCCUGUAGCUCAACGGUCAGAGCCGAGCUCUCACAAGGCUCGGGUUGCAGGUUCAAGUUCUGCCGGGGCGACCA
RNAcentral lists this transfer RNA (76 nucleotides) under Hyphomicrobiales bacterium. RNAcentral's name for it is "Rhizobiales bacterium (bioreactor metagenome) tRNA-Val". It matches the Rfam family "tRNA". From Rfam's summary of the family: Transfer RNA (tRNA) molecules are approximately 80 nucleotides in length. Their secondary structure includes four short double-helical elements and three loops (D, anti-codon, and T loops). Lineage: Bacteria; Pseudomonadati; Pseudomonadota; Alphaproteobacteria; Hyphomicrobiales. The record is from RNAcentral.